This 133-nucleotide ribosomal RNA is filed under the name uncultured bacterium. RNAcentral's name for it is "partial 16S ribosomal RNA". It matches the Rfam family "Bacterial small subunit ribosomal RNA", at positions 355 to 485 of the family's 1533-position model. The record is from RNAcentral.
UGAGGAAUAUUGGACAAUGGGCGAGAGCCUGAUCCAGCCAUGCCGCGUGCAGGAAGACGGCCCUAUGGGUUGUAAACUGCUUUUAUACGGGAAGAAACACCCCCUCGUGAGGGGGCUUGACGGUACCGUAAGA